CGAAAUGAGUUGAUUGCAUUUAAGAGUGUUGAUUACAUCGUUAAACUAUCAAGCAAAGCCUUUUUGGUGUGAAAAUCUGAGGAAAAUCGUUAUUAAUUCUGAUACUACUUAUAUUCCGCUUGUCAUUGAUGUUCGUUGCCGAUUUCCCAAAGAUCGCAAUCAGCUGACUGCGUGGCAGUUUGUGUGUUCUUGCGCCCUGCAUGUUUGGUACGUCCGCAAAUAUUUGAAACGCGGAGUGAACCCAAAACAGCAGCAAUGGCCACCCGCAACUGGAAUCUGGAGUGCAAGGUGUAUGUUGGAAAUCUGGGCAACAGCGCUGCCAAGAAUGAGAUUGAAGAUGCCUUCAGCAAGUACGGUAAUCUGCGCAACGUGUGGAUCGCGCGCAACCCACCUGGCUUUGCAUUUGUGGAGUUUGAGGACCCACGGGAUGCUGAGGACGCUGUGCGAGGACUGGACGGAACUCGGCUGUGCGGCGAGCGGGUCCGUGUGGAGAUGUCGUCCGGCAAGAGCCGCAGCCGCGGUGGUAUGCGCGGCGGCGGCGGCGGCUACGGCGGUGGUGGUUUCGGCGGCAGGAGAUUUCCAUCACACCACCACCCCUUGCCUCCGUCCAUCACACUUCACGGCCUAGCGUGGGUCACGUGACGCGGUCAGGUGACCCCUGACCCGCGACGUGACCCGGCCCAUCAAGGGACUCUCGGCUCACCCCCAUCUUGCGUCUCACACAUCGCCUCUUCGCGUCGUGUCACUCGUUUGCGUUAAUGGCCGCAUUAGCUACGUACUUGCUUCGUGGGCCCACCAUUCUCCGCUCCUCUGCGCUUCGCUCCCUCCGCUUAUGUCGAAGCAAGUAAGUGAGCACACCACCAGCGACGUAGAUGGGGAUGCUCAAUAUCGUUCGAUCAAUUCUCAGGUUAUACUGCACAAACAGUUCUAAUGAUUCAAAUGUUAUAUUUUAUUUUCGAUGUUAUAAUUUAUAAUCAUAUUAUUAUUCAUAUUGACGCAGAUGGAGCGGAUUUCUAUGACCAAUCAUUCUCUUCCUGACAGGAUAAAUGUGACGUAAAGGAGCUGAGUAUAACAGAUAUCGAAACGCUGUGUUUCGUUAACUUUCCACCCUUUCAGAGAUAUCGGUGCCUUUUCCGUUCAUGGGAUGGGGCCCGGUGCCUGGAGGCAGACUGUGGUUCCAUGCUAACACGGUCAGUGGGCCAGUGCUCCGGCCCAUACCGGAGCCGUGUGUGUAUGUCUGUGUGCGCUGUCUGACACUGUGCUGUGUGCGUGUGUUGGUGCAGGUCGCCAGGCCGUCGCUCCAUCUCGCCGCGGCGCCGGUCACGCAGCCGCAGCCCGCGUGGUUCGCCCGUCUACGACCGCUACAGGAGGUCCAGGAGCCGCGACUGAAGAGGUCCGCCGCCACCGACACUGACCGCUGUUGUCACCGUUUGACGCCCCCGGAUGACGCCGGCACCCCCUUACCCCUCCCCAGCGCCGCCCAUAUCCCCUUCCCGCUUCUGAAGCGUGCGCGCUCAGAGGCCGGCCACGAGCCCCGCAGAAUAUCAGCUGUCUAUGAUCUGGCUGGUGGUGUAAUUUGCAUGACUGAUGAGUUCAGCUCACGGUAGCGGUUUGUGGCAUUCCAUUAUUUCAUCUGAGUUCGUGACGUCGGUGUGUAAACGUCAGAAAUACACGUCAUCUUCCGAA
Amphibalanus amphitrite is the source of this 1686-nucleotide RNA transcript. It is a transcript of the gene named RNA-binding protein 1-like, with no coding region annotated. The transcript is spliced from 5 exons. The record is from RefSeq and is a predicted model, not a curated record. NCBI's taxonomy places the organism in Eukaryota, Metazoa, Arthropoda, Thecostraca, Balanomorpha, Balanidae.